UACAGGGGGGGCAAGCGUUGUUCGGAAUUACUGGGCGUAAAGGGCUCGUAGGCGGCCAACUAAGUCACACGUGAAAUCCCCAGGCUUAACCUGGGAACUGCGUGUGAUACUGGAUGGCUUGAAUUCGGGAGAGGGAUGCAGAAUUCCAGGUGUAGCGGUGAAAUGCGUAGAUAUCUGGAGGAAUACCGGUGGCGAAAGCGGCUCUCUGGAACGGUACUGACGCUGAGACGCGAAAGCGUGGGGAGCGAACAGG
RNAcentral lists this ribosomal RNA (253 nucleotides) under uncultured bacterium. RNAcentral describes it as "partial 16S ribosomal RNA". It matches the Rfam family "Bacterial small subunit ribosomal RNA", at positions 524 to 776 of the family's 1533-position model. The record is from RNAcentral.